UCGGUGAAGGUGUGGCAC
RNAcentral lists this non-coding RNA (18 nucleotides) under Arabidopsis thaliana (thale cress). Lineage: Eukaryota; Viridiplantae; Streptophyta; Magnoliopsida; Brassicales; Brassicaceae. The record is from RNAcentral.